RNAcentral lists this ribosomal RNA (253 nucleotides) under uncultured bacterium. Its description in RNAcentral is "partial 16S ribosomal RNA". It matches the Rfam family "Bacterial small subunit ribosomal RNA", at positions 524 to 776 of the family's 1533-position model. The record is from RNAcentral.
UACGGGGGGGGCAAGCGUUGUUCGGAAUUACUGGGCGUAAAGGGUGCGUAGGUGGUGAGGUAAGUCGGAUGUGAAAGCUCGGAGCUCAACUCCGAAAUGGCAUUGGAAACUACCUUGCUCGAGGGUUGGAGGGGGGACUGGAAUGCUUGGUGUAGCAGUGAAAUGCGUAGAUAUCAAGCGGAACACCAGUGGCGAAGGCGAGUCCCUGGACAACUCCUGACACUGAGGCACGAAAGCUAGGGGAGCAAACAGG